RNAcentral lists this long non-coding RNA (1112 nucleotides) under Gallus gallus (chicken). Lineage: Eukaryota; Metazoa; Chordata; Aves; Galliformes; Phasianidae. The record is from RNAcentral.
CGUGGGUGUGACAACACGACACUGAGUGUGGCAACACUACGUUGGGGGUAACAAUGCUACACUGGGUGUGACAACGCUACGCUGAGUGUGAUGACACUACGUUGGGUGUGACAGUGGUACGUUGGGUGUGACAACACUACGUUGAGUGUGACAGUGCUACGUCGGGUGUGACAACGCUGCGCUGCGUGUGACAACACUCCGUGGGCUGUGACAGUGCUAUGUCGGGUGUGACAACACUACGCUGAGUGUGACAACACUCCAUCGGGUGUAACGGUCCUACGGCGGGUGUGACAACACUGCGUCGGGUGUGACAACACUACGAUGGGUGUAACAGUGCUGCGUCGGGUGUGACAACGCUACCUCAGGUGUGCCAACACUGCGUUGGGGGUGACAGCGCUACGCCGGGUGUGACAGCACUGUGUUGGUUGUAACAACACUACAUCGGGUGUGAUUACAUCGGGUGUGACAACGCUGUGUUGGUGUGUCAGCUCUGUGGUGGUGGUCACAGCACUACAGCGGGGUGUGGCAACACUACAUGGGGUGUGACAGUGUGACAUUGGGUGUGACAACACUACAUGGGGUGUGACAACACGACAUGGGGGGUGACAACACUACAUGGGGUGUGACAACAUGUCAUUGGGUGUGACAACACGACAUGGGGUGUGACAAUGUGACAUUGGGUGUGACAGUGCUAUAUUGGGUGUGACAACACUGUGCCAGGUGUGACAACAUGACAUUGGGUGUGACAACACUACAUUGGGUGUGACAGUGACACUCCCAUGGGUGUGACAGCACUGCGGUGGGUGUAAUGGCCCUGUAUUGGGUGUGACAGUGCUACACUGGGUGUGACAACACUGUGCCAGGUGUGACAACGUGACAUUGGGUGUGACAACACUACAUUGGGUGUGACAGUGCUACAUUGGGUGUGACAACACUGUGCCGGGUGUGACAACACGACAUGGGGGGUGACAACACUACAUGGGGUGUGACAACAUGACAUUGGGUAUGACAACACUCCCAUGGGUGUGACAGCGCUACGUUGGGUGUGACAACACUGCACUGGGUGUGAUAACACUACAUUGGGUGUGACAACACUACAUGGGGUGUGACAG